Molecule: ribosomal RNA, 253 nt
Filed under: uncultured bacterium
Lineage: Bacteria
Description: partial 16S ribosomal RNA
Rfam family: Bacterial small subunit ribosomal RNA
Source: RNAcentral
UACGGAGGGUGCGAGCGUUGUCCGGAUUUAUUGGGUUUAAAGGGUGCGUAGGUGGCUAUUUAAGUCAGUGGUGAAAUACAGCCGCUCAACGGUUGAGGUGCCAUUGAUACUGAUUAGCUUGAAAUAAUUGGAGGCUGCCGGAAUGGAUGGUGUAGCGGUGAAAUGCAUAGAUAUCAUCCAGAACACCGAUUGCGAAGGCAGGUGGCUACGAUUGAUUUGACACUGAGGCACGAAAGCAUGGGGAGCAAACAGG